Molecule: ribosomal RNA, 482 nt
Filed under: uncultured bacterium
Lineage: Bacteria
Description: partial 16S ribosomal RNA
Rfam family: Bacterial small subunit ribosomal RNA
Source: RNAcentral
AUUGAACGCUGGCGGCAUGCUUUACACGUGCAAGUCGAACGGUAACAGGCCGCAAGGUGCUGACGAGUGGCGAACGGGUGAGUAAUGCAUCGGAACGUGCCCAGUCGUGGGGGAUAACUACUCGAAAGAGUAGCUAAUACCGCAUACGAUCUAUGGAUGAGAGCGGGGGACCGUAAGGCCUCGCGCGAUUGGAGCGGCCGAUGUCAGAUUAGGUAGUUGGUGGGGUAAAGGCUCACCAAGCCAACGAUCUGUAGCUGGUCUGAGAGGACGACCAGCCACACUGGGACUGAGACACGGCCCAGACUCCUACGGGAGGCAGCAGUGGGGAAUUUUGGACAAUGGGCGCAAGCCUGAUCCAGCAAUGCCGCGUGCAGGAAGAAGGCCUUCGGGUUGUAAACUGCUUUUGUACGGAACGAAACGGCUCUGGUUAAUACCCGGGGCUAAUGACGGUACCGUAAGAAUAAGCACCGGCUAACUACGUG